RNAcentral lists this long non-coding RNA (371 nucleotides) under Mytilus galloprovincialis (Mediterranean mussel). The record is from RNAcentral. Lineage: Eukaryota; Metazoa; Mollusca; Bivalvia; Mytilida; Mytilidae.
GUUGCUUGUCAGGUACUUAUUUUCAGAAAAUGUAAAUGUUGCCAGUUUCUUACAAUUGCGUAAUAAGUCCUAUUGAAUACAACACAUAUGAAUCAGAGACCACCUAAAGAACCCCCAAAAAACAAAACUUUAGAGUAGCCUAGCAUCCUGGCCAAAUCUUAUACCUUGUUGUUUACUGACAGUGUUAGCAAGCAGUGAGUCAGGGUCCUUGGUCAUAAAACUUUCAUCAGUACAAAAUUUGUGCUUGAAACACCAAAAUUUGUUGAAUUCUGAGUUUGAGUACAAUCAUCGUACUUGAAAGGCCAGAAUCCGAGGCUACCUUAAAAGAAGUACCUCUGGGACAUGCUAUUUUAUGCCUUACACUCCAUGAG